RNAcentral lists this small nuclear RNA (32 nucleotides) under Phaeodactylum tricornutum CCAP 1055/1. Its description in RNAcentral is "snRNA PTsRNA00030b". Lineage: Eukaryota; Bacillariophyta; Bacillariophyceae; Surirellales; Neidiaceae. The record is from RNAcentral.
GCUUCUGUAGCUCAGUUGGUUAGAGCACUUCA